This 428-nucleotide ribosomal RNA is filed under the name Bacteroidota bacterium. RNAcentral's name for it is "Bacteroidetes bacterium partial 16S ribosomal RNA". It matches the Rfam family "Bacterial small subunit ribosomal RNA", at positions 355 to 775 of the family's 1533-position model. The record is from RNAcentral. Lineage: Bacteria; Pseudomonadati; Bacteroidota.
UAGGGAAUCUUCGGCAAUGGGGGGAACCCUGACCGAGCAACGCCGCGUGAGUGAAGAAGGUUUUCGGAUCGUAAAGCUCUGUUGUUAAGGAAGAACGAGUGUGAGAAUGGAAAGUUCAUGCUGUGACGGUACUUAACCAGAAAGGGACGGCUAACUAUGUGCCAGCAGCCGCGGUAAUACGUAGGUCCCGAGCGUUGUCCGGAUUUAUUGGGCGUAAAGCGAGCGCAGGCGGUUAGAUAAGUCUGAAGUUAAAGGCAGUGGCUCAACCAUUGUAGGCUUUGGAAACUGUUUAACUUGAGUGCAGAAGGGGAGAGUGGAAUUCCAUGUGUAGCGGUGAAAUGCGUAGAUAUAUGGAGGAACACCGGUGGCGAAAGCGGCUCUCUGGUCUGUAACUGACGCUGAGGCUCGAAAGCGUGGGGAGCGAACAG